CGCGUAGGCGGCCACCGCAAGUCAAUUGUGAAAUCUCCGGGCUUAACUCGGAAAGGUCAACUGAUACUGCGGGGCUAGAGUGCAGAAGGGGCAACUGGAAUUCUCGGUGUAGCGGUGAAAUGCGUAGAUAUCGAGAGGAACACCUGCGGCGAAGGCGGGUUGCUGGGCUGACACUGACGCUGAGGCGCGAAAGCUAGGGAGCGAACG
RNAcentral lists this ribosomal RNA (207 nucleotides) under uncultured bacterium. Its description in RNAcentral is "partial 16S ribosomal RNA". It matches the Rfam family "Bacterial small subunit ribosomal RNA", at positions 568 to 774 of the family's 1533-position model. The record is from RNAcentral.